Molecule: ribosomal RNA, 490 nt
Filed under: uncultured bacterium
Lineage: Bacteria
Description: bacterial SSU rRNA
Rfam family: Bacterial small subunit ribosomal RNA
Source: RNAcentral
AGAGUUUGAUCAUGGCUCAGGAUGAACGCUGGCGGCGUGCCUAACACAUGCAAGUCGAACGGCCUCGCAAGAGGCAGUGGCGCACGGGUGCGGAACACGUAGCUGACCUGCCCCAAAGUGGGGGAUAACCGGCGGAAACGCUGGCUAAGACCGCAUACGCUGGUGAGGGCCAGAAGCUCACCAGGAAAGCUUGAUGCGCUUUGGGAGGGGGCUGCGGCCCAUCAGGUGGUUGGUGGGGUAACGGCCUACCAAGCCGAAGACGGGUAACGGGUCUGAGAGGAUGACCCGUCACACUGGGACUGAGACACGGCCCAGACUCCUACGGGAGGCAGCAGUGAGGAAUAUUGGUCAAUGGGGGCAACCCUGAACCAGCGACGCCGCGUGGGUGAUGAAGGCCUUCGGGUCGUAAAGCCCUUUUCUGUGUGACGAGCAAGGACGGUAGCACAGGAAUAAGCCUCGGCUAACUACGUGCCAGCCGCCGCGGUAAUUC